CUUAUAUAUAUAUAGAGAGAGAGAAUUGAGCUCCUAUGCUUUUAAAACUACCGAGUUAUUAAUACGUGUAGAUUUUGGCUAUUUGAUUAAGGGAUAUGCGGUUAGGAUGAUGUGGGACCUCUAGGGUUGAGUGAGUGGUUGGUUGAAUAGUACGAUCUAACGGAUAGAAGUGAUCAAAGGAAUAAAUUUAAUGGUAAGAAAUUUACAAGCACCAAAUGCUUGGUACUUUUACAAGCACCAUAGUCGAAUUCUCUCUCUCUCUCUCUAUGUAUAUAUAGAGUUGAGCUGGAAUACUAUUAUUAGUAUUUAGGCUCUUUUACUAUUAAUUUUUUAACCGUUAGAUCUACACUUUAAUUAAUUCCAUUUUUUAGAUCAUACUAUUCAGCCAACCACCCGCUUAACCCUAAGGGGAUUACUACUAAACCCUAGAAAACCACUAUCAUUCUAACCUUAUAAUUUUUCAUUCAAGGAUUAAAAACUCUCUCUAUAUAUAAUUAAUAGUAUUAAUAGUAGUUCAACUCCCUUUA
Molecule: long non-coding RNA, 527 nt
Filed under: Ananas comosus (pineapple)
Lineage: Eukaryota; Viridiplantae; Streptophyta; Magnoliopsida; Poales; Bromeliaceae
Description: long non-coding RNA (ACOM_LNC035818)
Source: RNAcentral